Molecule: unclassified non-coding RNA, 234 nt
Filed under: Glomus sp.
Lineage: Eukaryota; Fungi; Glomeromycota; Glomeromycetes; Glomerales; Glomeraceae
Description: partial contains 5.8S ribosomal RNA and internal transcribed spacer 2
Rfam family: 5.8S ribosomal RNA (bases 1-71)
Source: RNAcentral
GUGAAUCAUCGAAUCUUUGAACGCAAAUUGCACUCUCUGGUAUUCCGGAGAGUAUGCCUGUUUGAGAAUCAGUUUAAAUAAAAAUCGGUGUGGUUGCUGCCUUUCGUUGUAACGCACCGGGUUUAUGUCGUCGUGCCUUCGGUUAAGUGACCUAAAAUGUUGCAUGAUUUUUUUCUAACGUAUUUAAACGUUUUUGCGUACGUUUCCGAUAUCGAAUGCUAGUUGUGGUAAUCC